UGGGGAAUCUUGCACAAUGGGCGAAAGCCUGAUGCAGCGACGCCGCGUGGGGGAUGAAGCAUUUCGGUGUGUAAACCCCUUUCGACCCGGAAGAAUGCCUCGCAAGAGGACUGACGGUACGGGUAUAAGAAGCCCCGGCUAACUACGUGCCAGCAGCCGCGGUAAGACGUAGGGGGCCAGCGUUGUUCGGAAUUACUGGGUGUAAAGGGUUCGUAGGCGGUGUGGCAAGUUGGGAGUGAAAUCUCUGGGCUCAACCCAGAGGCUGCUUCCAAAACUGCUGUGCUUGAGUGUGGGAGAGGCGCGUGGAAUUGCAGGUGUAGCGGUGAAAUGCGUAGAUAUCUGCAGGAACACCCGUGGCGAAAGCGGCGCGCUGGACCACAACUGACGCUGAGGAACGAAAGCUAGGGGAGCAAACAGGAUUAGAUACCCCGGUAGUCC
This 438-nucleotide ribosomal RNA is filed under the name uncultured bacterium. RNAcentral describes it as "bacterial SSU rRNA". It matches the Rfam family "Bacterial small subunit ribosomal RNA", at positions 355 to 796 of the family's 1533-position model. The record is from RNAcentral.